CAUAAGGGCCAUGAGGACUUGACGUCAUCCCCACCUUCCUCCGGUUUGUCACCGGCAGUCUCACUAGAGUGCCCUUUCGUAGCAACUAGUGACAAGGGUUGCGCUCGUUGCGGGACUUAACCCAACAUCUCACGACAUGAGCUGACGACAGCCAUGCAGCACCUGUGUUCAGGCUCCCUUGCGGGCACGCUCUCAUUACAAGAGCUUCCUGACAUGUCAAG
RNAcentral lists this ribosomal RNA (221 nucleotides) under uncultured beta proteobacterium. RNAcentral describes it as "partial 16S ribosomal RNA". Lineage: Bacteria; Pseudomonadati; Pseudomonadota; Betaproteobacteria. The record is from RNAcentral.